RNAcentral lists this non-coding RNA (241 nucleotides) under Daphnia pulex (common water flea). RNAcentral's name for it is "Eukaryotic large subunit ribosomal RNA". It matches the Rfam family "Eukaryotic large subunit ribosomal RNA", at positions 1 to 220 of the family's 3401-position model. The record is from Rfam by way of RNAcentral. Lineage: Eukaryota; Metazoa; Arthropoda; Branchiopoda; Diplostraca; Daphniidae.
UGACCUCAGUUUAGAUGAGACUACCCGCUGAACUUAAGCAUAUCAGUAAGCGGAGGAAAAGAAACUAACAAGGAUUCCCUUAGUAGCGGCGAGCGAACAGGGAUGAGCCCAGCACCGAACCUCGCGCCCGGUUGAGCGGGUGCCGAGGAAUGUGGUGUUCGGGAGGAUCGUGCGCGUCUGUCCGGUAUCUAUCGUCCAAGUCUCCAUGAACGGGGCGAGCAACCCACAGAGGGUGUCAGGC